This 282-nucleotide long non-coding RNA is filed under the name Elaeis guineensis (African oil palm). RNAcentral's name for it is "long non-coding RNA (EGUI_LNC043698)". Lineage: Eukaryota; Viridiplantae; Streptophyta; Magnoliopsida; Arecales; Arecaceae. The record is from RNAcentral.
UGUGGAUGUUGAGAUCCAUUGCUAGAUAGUAUCUCGAUUAGUACAAGAAUUGGUUCAUGUGCUACCAGCUUAGUGUUUGAAUCUAUGAAGUCACGCACACAAGUCAGACAAAAUAGGAAGGAAUUGACCUAUGUUUAUAUAUCUAAUUUAAAAGUACUUAACUUGAUUGAACAUAUAAGCUAACUUGAUUGAGAAUUAAGUUAUGGAUCAAACAAGAUUGAAGAGUUGAUUAUGUCUAUCUAGCACAACACAUGAGGUUCAAGUUCGAUCUCGAAGAUGAAC